RNAcentral lists this long non-coding RNA (1692 nucleotides) under Gossypium barbadense (sea-island cotton). Its description in RNAcentral is "long non-coding RNA (GBAR_LNC005704)". Lineage: Eukaryota; Viridiplantae; Streptophyta; Magnoliopsida; Malvales; Malvaceae. The record is from RNAcentral.
AGAAAUGAAAGGAUCAAAACUGAAAUUAAACAAAUUUGAGUGUAGUAUAGAGAUUGAAAUAGAAAUUUAACCAUUAUUACAUAAAGUAAGAAAAGUAAAAGGAUCAUAAUUGCAAUUGAACCAUUAUACCAUAAAUCAUAUUAAAAAAAAUCAAGUUGGAUGAUUUUAUGCAUGCUACACCUCACCUGUCUAUAAAAUUAUCACUAUAUUUUUCAAUUUAUUCAUACUUUUUCUUAUAUAUAUAAUUUUGGGCCGAGUUUAACUUUUUAAAAAGAAUAUUAUAUUCUUAUUAUUUUUAAAAAAUGAAGAAAAAUGUGAACGAAACGAUUAAAGGCCCCAAGACCAGAUGAUUAGCCUACCAAUUUUUUCAAGCUAUUUGAGACUCCCAGAUUCAUGAAGAUGCUUAAAGAAAACUUGACAGUCAUGUCAACAAAUCUCUUGGUAAGUACCUGGGAUUUAAUAUGAAGCAUAUUUCUUCUAAAAGCUCAUUUUUUCAAUCUACCAUUAAUACGCUGAAUAUCAAGCUCUAAGGAUGGAAGUCCAAAUUGCUCUCUUCUGGUUGUAGGUUGACUAUGAUUUUCUCUGUAGGUACCUAAAUUUACCCGGGCCCAUAAUUGCUAAUCAGCCCAGACCCAAAAAAGAAAUAUAAACUAAAACCCAAUUACAAGGACAGCCCGAUAGGCCCAAAAUCAAGCCAAUCUUGGCAAACCGAAACCCUAGUCUCCUCCCCUGGCGCUGUACCCUUCCCAUGUGCGCCCUCGGCAUGCACGACGCCCAAGGGCCGACUUUGCCUUCAACCUUACACCAAAAUGGCAUGCUUUCACUGCCGUUGACCCCCCUAGGCCUGCAAAACAGAAGCAAAAGAGAGCAAAGCAGCAGAAGCAAAAGGAAAUAGUAACAAACAGUAGAAAAAUCUUUGUAUUCGGCUAUAAGAAAAGCCUGGAACAAACAAUUUUUUUACACAGACUAUUAAGGAAAAAGAGCAAAAUACAAGCAAAGGUUGAUUCCAAUCUCGUUUUCGACUCGUUCUUCAUAUUUUAUUUAUGCUUUCAUUUUUUUAUUUUUCAUUUUUAUUUUUUAAUCAUAAAUCUAUUUUAAACAAAAUAAAAAGGGAGUAAAAACUCACCGAAACCGCCCCGUGACCGCUUCGUCGGAGGGCUUUUCGUCGUUGUCGCGUUCGAACCCAAAAGGGGGUGCGAACCAUUAUCCUUGCGCUUCCGAGGAUUGAUGGUGUUAUAACCUUCAAACGCGCCUUGAAACGGGGCUUAAUGCCCACCCUUGUGCACUGUCGGCCGCCGGGUACAGUGGUGGCACGAUAGAUGGAGAUUUGGGUGUCCCCUUUGGCCGGCUACAAGGAGAGAAGGGAGAGAGUUAGGGGAAUCUCAGAUUUUUUUUAGAGAGGAGGUUGCAAAUGAAAAUUUCUGAAAAAAAUGGGCUUAAAUGCAACCCUGGAAACGAUGCCGUUUUUGGGUGGUAGUCCAGGUGCCAAAAUGGCACCGUUUUGGCCAACCCGUUUUCGACCCGACCCGCUCCAUGCCAAGACCCGAGCGUUUCCGCUUUAAUGGGUUAUUUAUGGAUCCGAUCCCUUCACUUUUGUGGUCUGUCGCAAUUCAGCCUUAUUUCCUUUUCUUUUCUUUUGAUUUUUACCCUGUAAUUCUUGAAAUGUUCAGAUUCGGUCGCUAUUGAAGUUAU